AUGGACCCUAAUGCAGCUGCUGGCCACUGCACAAGAUUAGACAUAAGACUCUUGUGCGUGUGACAGCGGCUAUGAUGGGGUUUCCACGAAACAAC
Non-coding RNA from Apis mellifera (honey bee), 95 nucleotides. NCBI's taxonomy places the organism in Eukaryota, Metazoa, Arthropoda, Insecta, Hymenoptera, Apidae. The record is from Rfam.